RNAcentral lists this long non-coding RNA (1823 nucleotides) under Mus musculus (house mouse). The record is from RNAcentral. Lineage: Eukaryota; Metazoa; Chordata; Mammalia; Rodentia; Muridae.
AGAGGCUGACUGGCUGGCUACAUAUCUGUCUCUGGAACAAUAGGUACCUAUAUUCUGCACGGGCUUCUGGGCAGGCAGCACUAACACUCAGGAGAAGGUCUGCCUCUGUCUGCGCCUUCCUGGUUCAAUGCAGGCAGAUGAGUGUCACAGAUGUAACUGAGGCACUGAAUAAUCAACAUAUCGGAGCCAAUUCCCAGGACGGCAAGAGGGGGAACCGGCAGAGAUGACUGACCCUGGAGGACAAGAGCAUUCUUCUGACAAGUUUUAGCAUGGACUAUCCUCAGGAAAAUGAGAUCCAGGAAGAGUGACGCCCUCCUCGAACUGAAAGAUACUCAGGUUGAUGGAGUCAGGGACGAAGUGGCUUAUCAACAACACAGGAUGUCUGCAGGGAACAGAACUUAUUCAGACAUGGCCCAGAUUGUCUGCCCGUGGGGACUGAGGGACCUCUGAGGGUUACAUCAGGAAGGAAGGAGAGGCUGUUUCUACAGGUGCCACAGAAAAAUCGAUGCUGAGCCUCGGAUUAUUGGAUCCCAUAGAACCGUGGAGACUUGGCAGUGAAAUUCUUCCAAAGCAUUCCAUCUGCGCAGGCAGGCAGAGGUUUUCCUGGUUUGGGAAGUAUAAAUCCCGUGGGAAGUCAACUGGAGGACAUUUUACGCGUCACUCAUCCUAUUAUGAGCCUGCUGCUCCUCCGUCUCUUGACAAGGCCACCAACUAGAAGGGCACAGAAUUGUUCAUAAAACAGCUGAAUGUGAAUGUCUUUGGAUUCCCAUUUAAUGAGUUGGCAGCUAAAGGACAGGAGCAGCAAUAAGGCUUCCUGGCUACAUUUUCAUGGUGCCACCAACUGCGAGUUAAGCUGACAAACAUUUUGAGAGCUCGGCCCAUUUCAUUCCCAGCAGGAUGGCAGGAGUUAACUAAAACAGAAUAAACUAAAAAUUGUGCCUUCAUUGCACAUUUGCACUGAUUAUCAGCACUGAAAAUGGCUAAGUUCUGCUUAUCAAGAGCGGGUGACUGAUUGUCCCUGCCAGCUGGCUAAUAUCAUAAUUAGCAAAGUUGCUACCACAUCUGCAAAGUUUAAUCGAAAAAUUUACCAGUGGUAUGAUGGCAUUGUCACCGCGAUCCUGAGGGAAUCAGAGUCGACUUCUGCUUCAACUGGAAUGGCAAGGCUGUAGAGCUGAGAUGAGAAACUGUAAACUUGCUCAGCCAAAGGUUAUGCUUCACAUCACCCACCAGGGAGGAUCAUCUCUCAUGAAAACUUUCAAAUUUGAUUUUGAAAAUUUAUUCAGAAAAAUUUAAGCCACGCUCUUUCCCAACACAGGAAAUAAUAUGCUCCAGAGAAUCCUCUAAUUCACCGAAAAUGGACUUGGAUAACAUUUGGGUUCUCAUACUACCACAGUCCUCUUGAGAAGGACAGCCAGGUACACAAAGCAUUUAACAUUCUGACAUUGAAGUAUUGGAAGAAUGAUUAAAAUAAAAAUCUAAUAAUAUGUUUUGAGGAAUUGCUAACAUAGUUUAUGUGGUCCAGGAAGGAGGAAAGAGCCGCUUUCAUUUCUCCACCAUGUCUGGGGAUGUGUUUCUGCUUCUCUUGCUAGAACACAGUGUUUUAACUGCGUGUCAUCUUUCCAUAGCAUUGUUUCUACACAGUUCAUUGUGAUAGCGUUGGUGCCCAUAGCUGAGCUUAUGCACACAGAAAGGAUCAGAUAAAGCAGAAAGCUCAUGCCGUGGUCUAGCUUGGUGUUUCUUGCAGUGCUUUCAUGAUGGAGAUUUUCUUUAUGAAAUUGUCAUUUGUGAGCAAAUUGCUAUUUAAAAAAUAUUAAAUUAGCUAA